Molecule: non-coding RNA, 416 nt
Organism: Heterocephalus glaber (naked mole-rat)
Lineage: Eukaryota; Metazoa; Chordata; Mammalia; Rodentia; Bathyergidae
Source: RefSeq, a predicted model, not a curated record
GAGUCCUGAAGAUCAUCAUGAAGGGGUGUUAACUGAAAGAACAUGGAGGGACAGGCUUGAAUGACUGUUUGGAGGUUAGCACUUCUGAGCUCAUUUGGAUGGAAGUUAACAAACAGAGCGGGAAACAUUUACUGAGCUCCUACCAGAUGGAAGUUGAUUUCAAAUGCUUUGUGAGAUACAAAGAGGAUAAGCUGCUCCCUUUUGAGAAAGAAGCUCAAUCAAAUUGAAAAUGAGAAGAGAAAUAGAAGGAGCCAAUGAAACCAAAGAAGUGGUCAAGAAGCUGAAGGAGACCCCAGGACGAUGUAACACCUCCAGGAGGUGAAGAGUUUCACUCUUUCCUGUGCUCCCGCCUGACGUGCUGACCUGUUACAGACCCAAAACAAUGGAGCCAAUCAAGCGUCUGCUAGAUCAUCCAA